This 68-nucleotide transfer RNA is filed under the name Chaetopterus variopedatus. Its description in RNAcentral is "tRNA-Leu". It matches the Rfam family "tRNA". Rfam says of the family: Transfer RNA (tRNA) molecules are approximately 80 nucleotides in length. Their secondary structure includes four short double-helical elements and three loops (D, anti-codon, and T loops). The record is from RNAcentral. Lineage: Eukaryota; Metazoa; Annelida; Polychaeta; Chaetopteridae.
GCUAACGUGGCAGACUUAAUGCGUUAGAUUUAAAAUCUAACAAUGAAAUUUUUAUAUUUCCUUUAGCA